CAGUCGCCGCGGUAAUACAGAGGGUGCGAGCGUUAAUCGGAUUUACUGGGCGUAAAGCGUGCGUAGGCGGCUUCUUAAGUCGGAUGUGAAAUCCCUGAGCUUAACUUAGGAAUUGCAUUCGAUACUGGGAAGCUAGAGUAUGGGAGAGGAUGGUAGAAUUCCAGGUGUAGCGGUGAAAUGCGUAGAGAUCUGGAGGAAUACCGAUGGCGAAGGCAGCCAUCUGGCCUAAUACUGACGCUAAGGUACGAAAGCAUGGGGAGCAAACAGGAUUAGAUACCCCCGUAGUCCCUGUCUCUUAUAA
Molecule: ribosomal RNA, 301 nt
Filed under: uncultured bacterium
Lineage: Bacteria
Description: partial 16S ribosomal RNA
Rfam family: Bacterial small subunit ribosomal RNA
Source: RNAcentral